GACGAACGCUGGCGGCGUGCUUAACACAUGCAAGUCGAACGGAAAGGCCCUGCUUUUGUGGGGUGCUCGAGUGGCGAACGGGUGAGUAACACGUGAGUAACCUGCCCUUGACUUUGGGAUAACUUCAGGAAACUGGGGCUAAUACCGGAUAGGAGCUCCUGCUGCAUGGUGGGGGUUGGAAAGUUUCGGCGGUUGGGGAUGGACUCGCGGCUUAUCAGCUUGUUGGUGGGGUAGUGGCUUACCAAGGCUUUGACGGGUAGCCGGCCUGAGAGGGUGACCGGCCACAUUGGGACUGAGAUACGGGCAAGACUCAUACGGGAGGCAGCAGUGGGGAAUAUUGCACAAUGGGCGGAAGCCUGAUGCAGCAACGCCGCGUGCGGGAUGACGGCCUUCGGGUUGUAAACCGCUUUCGCCUGUGAAGAAGAGUGAGUGACGGUAAUGGGUAAAGAAGCAACGGCUAACUACGUG
Molecule: ribosomal RNA, 468 nt
Filed under: uncultured bacterium
Lineage: Bacteria
Description: partial 16S ribosomal RNA
Rfam family: Bacterial small subunit ribosomal RNA
Source: RNAcentral